CACGGAGUUAGCCGGUGCUUCUUCUGCGGGUAACGUCAAUCGAUAAGGUUAUUAACCCCAUCGCCUUCCUCCCCGCUGAAAGUACUUUACAACCCGAAGGCCUUCUUCAUACACGCGGCAUGGCUGCAUCAGGCUUGCGCCCAUUGUGCAAUAUUCCCCACUGCUGCCUCCCGUAGGAGUCUGGACCGUGUCUCAGUUCCAGUGUGGCUGGUCAUCCUCUCAGACCAGCUAGGGAUCGUCGCCUAGGUGGGCCAUUACCCCGCCUACUAGCUAAUCCCAUCUGGGUUCAUCCGAUAGUGAGAGGCCCGAAGGUCCCCCUCUUUGGUCUUGCGACGUUAUGCGGUAUUAGCCACCGUUUCCAGUGGUUAUCCCCCUCUAUCGGGCAGAUCCCCAGACAUUACUCACCCGUCCGCCACUCGUCACCCAAGAGCAAGCUCUCUGUGCUACCGUCCGACUUGCAUGUGUUAGGCCUGCCGCCAGCGUUCAAUCUGAGCCAGGA
Molecule: ribosomal RNA, 499 nt
Filed under: uncultured Pantoea sp.
Lineage: Bacteria; Pseudomonadati; Pseudomonadota; Gammaproteobacteria; Enterobacterales; Erwiniaceae
Description: partial 16S ribosomal RNA
Source: RNAcentral